Molecule: ribosomal RNA, 145 nt
Filed under: uncultured bacterium
Lineage: Bacteria
Description: partial 16S ribosomal RNA
Source: RNAcentral
GCACGUAGAUUAGCCGGCGCUUCUUCUGCAGGAUACCGAUCACUUUCGCUUCUUCCCUACUGAAAGAGGUUUACAACCCGCAAGGCCGUCAUCCCUCACGCGGCGUCGCUGCAUCAGGCUUUCGCCCAUUGUGCAAUAUUCCCCA